GGAACGCGACGCUCAUAUACAGCUAUAAUUUACUNGAUCUUGACUAUCCUACUUGGAUAACUGUGGUAAUUCUAGAGCUAAUACAUGCACCAAAGCUCUGACCUUACGGGAAGAGUGCAUUUAUUAGAACAAAACCAAGCGACUUCGGUCGUUUUUUGUUGACUCAGAAUAACUAAGCUGAUCGCAUGGUCUUGCACCGGCGACGUGUCUUUCAAGUAUCUGCCUUAUCAACUUUCGAUGGUAGUGUAUCUGACUACCAUGGUGGUGACGGGUAACGGAGGAUAAGGGUUUGACUCCGGAGAAGGGGCCUGAGAAAUGGCCACUACGUCUAAGGAUGGCAGCAGGCGCGCAAAUUACCCACUCUCAGAACGAGGAGGUAGUGACGAAAAAUAACGAGACCGUUCUCUAUGAGGCCGGUCAUCGGAAUGGGUACAAUCUAAACCCUUUAACGAGUAUCUAUGAGAGGGCAAGUCUGGUGCCAGCAGCCGCGGUAAUUCCAGCUCUCAAAAUGCAUAGAAUUAUUGCUGCGGUUAAAAAGCUCGUAGUUGGAUCUGUGCUGAGGACUUGGUCCACCUUCGGGUGUGCACUGAGCUCCACGGCUUUUUCUGCCGGUUUUCCCGUCAUGGCUUUCAUCGGCUGUGGCGGGUGGCUGGUGAUUUUACUUUGAACAAAUCAGAGUGCUCCAAACAGGCGUUUUGCUUGAAUGUUUUUGCAUGGAAUAAUAGAAGAGGAUUUCGGUUCUAUUUUAUUGGUUUUAUAGACUGAAAUAAUGGUUAACAGAGACCAACGGGGGCAUUCGUACCCGCUGCGUGAGAGGUGAAAUUCUUGGACCGCAGCGAGACGAACUACAGCGAAAGCAUUUGCCAAGAAGGUCUUCAUUAAUCAAGAACAAA
This 893-nucleotide ribosomal RNA is filed under the name Nematoda environmental sample. Its description in RNAcentral is "SSU rRNA". It matches the Rfam family "Eukaryotic small subunit ribosomal RNA", at positions 82 to 987 of the family's 1831-position model. The record is from RNAcentral. Lineage: Eukaryota; Metazoa; Nematoda.